UCCGGUUUGUCACCGGCAGUCUCGCAUGAGUCCCCAACUUAAUGCUGGCAACAUGCGACGGGGGUUGCGCUCGUUGCGGGACUUAACCCAACAUCUCACGACACGAGCUGACGACAGCCAUGCACCACCUGUGACGGUGCCCAAAGGGAGACUCUGUUUCCAGAGCUGUCAAGAACAUGUCAAGCCCAGGUAAGGUUCUUCGCGUUGCGUCGAAUUAAACCACAUGCUCCGCUGCUUGUGCGGGCCCCCGUCAAUUCCUUUGAGUUUCAUCCUUGCGGACGUACUCCCCAGGCGGGAUGCUUAAUGCGUUAGCUGCGCCACUGACGGGUAAACCCGCCAACGGCUAGCAUCCAUCGUUUACGGCGUGGACUAC
This 373-nucleotide unclassified non-coding RNA is filed under the name uncultured Thermoleophilia bacterium. Its description in RNAcentral is "contains 16S-23S intergenic spacer region". The record is from RNAcentral. Lineage: Bacteria; Bacillati; Actinomycetota; Thermoleophilia.